UUCGUGUGAACAGUGGUUGAUCACGAGUUAGUCGGUCCUAAGUUCAAGGCGAAAGCCGAAAAUUUUCAAGUAAAAUUUAUUAAUAUAUAAAUAUAUAUAUGUAUAAAACACUUGAAUAAUUUUGAACGAAAGGGAAUACGGUUCCAAUUCCGUAACCUGUUGAGUAUCCGUUUGUUAUUAAAUAUGGGCCUCGUGCUCAUCCUGGCAACAGGAACGACCAUAAAGAAGCCGUCGAGAGAUAUCGGAAGAGUUUUCUUUUCUGUUUUAUAGCCGUACUACCAUGGAAGUCUUUCGCAGAGAGAUAUGGUAGAUGGGCUAGAAGAGCAUGACAUAUACUGUUGUGUCGAUAUUUUCUCCUCGGACCUUGAAAAUUUAUGGUGGGGAUACGCAAACUUCUCAACAGGCCGUACCAAUAUCCGCAGCUGGUCUCCAAGGUGAAGAGUCUCUAGUCGAUAGAAUA
This 460-nucleotide ribosomal RNA is filed under the name Dichaetophora trilobita. Its description in RNAcentral is "partial 28S ribosomal RNA". It matches the Rfam family "Eukaryotic large subunit ribosomal RNA", at positions 1508 to 1897 of the family's 3401-position model. Lineage: Eukaryota; Metazoa; Arthropoda; Insecta; Diptera; Drosophilidae. The record is from RNAcentral.